CACUGACCCGGGCUUGCUCCUUCCUCUCUUGCGCAGCUCCGAGGCGGCGCCGCCGUCCGUGGGCACCAGGCCCUUGUCAGGCAGCAGCUUCCCGGGCGGGUUGGGGGGCACGCGGAUGCGCAGACGGAAGAUGCACUUCUUCUUCUUGAUCUCCUUGCCGCACAGGAACCUGCGGGGGGCGGGAGAGAAAGCUCUGGGCCUGUGGGUCCUCCUCCCGGGAGGCGAGUGCAGCCUCCCUGCGCCCAGAGCUGAGGUCCGGGUCGCUGCGGACACGACACGGGUUCCUCAAGGCCAUGGGGCCCGGGCUGGGCAGGGAUGCGGCUGGGGGCUCCUCCCUGCCCCCCUUGGUUCUAGCAGCUCCUGCCCCUCUUCUCGGCUCAACCAGCCCCAGGGCACCUCCUACAGGAAGGCCUCCUCCAGUUCGCAGGGAACUGCUGGGGCCCACACACCGCUUCCACACCAUUCUGCUUUCCGGUCUCCUCAGGAGACUGCAAACACCUGCAGGCAUGUCCCUCCUCCUUCCAGGUGAGCUGCCAGGUGAGGGGUGGCUCCGACAGUCCUCCCCCAGCACCCGUCCACAGGGAAGCCACCACGAGGGCAGGAGCCCCACUGCUCAAGAGCAGGACUGUGUCCGGGCCCCACCCCAUGAGGGGGGACCACGUCCUGCUCCUCGCUGCGUGCUCAGGACCUACACAGGGCUGAUGGGGCAGCAGUUCAAGCAACACCGUCGGGGGGACAAAGGACUGAACGGGAUGGAAGAGCGCUCCAGUCCACAGAGAGCUGAGCAGACCCCCUGAGCUGGAGAGCAGCGGGUUCAGGACAGCCGACGCCCAGAACAAAUCAAGCAGAGGAUCAGGGCAGGGUCUGGCCACGGGAGGCCCUGAAUGCCGUGCUCAGGAGCCUGGGCAGUGGCAGCCAGGUCUGUGGCUGUCGUGUGCUGAGGACUCAGGAGCCCGGGGGGAAGACACGGGCUGGGGACGGGAUGGCUACGGGGAUGGGAUGAAUGGACCUUCCAGUGCCCAGCCCUGAACCACAGACGGCCGGAGAGGAGUGGCCCUCAGAGAGCAGGGGUGCACCCCCUAGGAAGCGGAGCCCAGGACUGACGCAUGAAGCUGCUGCAGCGGUUGGGGGCACAUCACAAAAGAGGUUGAAGAAGGCCCAUGCCCUUGACCCGGCAAUGCCACCGCAUGGGCUCUAUCACGGGGUCAGAACGCACAACACAGGCAAAGCUUUAAGUGCAGCGUCGUUCCCAGUGAGAGGCAGGGAACCUGCCCAAAGGAAGGAAAGCAGUAAGUCAACCGUGGUGGAAACCAGUGGGGCCUUAAACAUGCGGAUGAAAGCUCUUUCAGAGUACGGAAAAGUAUUUAUGAUAUAAAGUGAAAAAAAGUGAUUUAAAAUUUUACAUACUGUAUAACAGAAGCCAGGAAAAACAGAAAAAAACGAUGGAAUACAUCACUGGCAGCUGUUUCUGCGCGGCGUGACGGGGAGUGUGGAUGAUUUUGUUCUUAGUAGGCUCCCCCCACCCCCCAGCAUGGGGCCCAGAGCAGGGCCCGGACUCAAGACCCGAGAUUGAGACCUGAGCUGAGAUCAAGUCAGACACUCAACUGAGCCCCAAGGCGCCCCUGGAUGAUUUUUUCAAAAGUGUACUUUGUUGCACUUAACAAUUUUCCUACCAGGAACGAUUUUCUCUUAAAGAUUUAAAGCCGACUCCCCGCCGAGCACAGAGCCCGACACACAGGGCUCCGUCCCAGGACCCCGAGAUCACCACCAGAGCCGAAAACCAAAGUCGGCUGCCCAGGCGCCCCGACAAUAUAAAUGUCUUAUAAAUAAUCAACGCUACAAUGGAAGACGUUACAUAAAAAGCGUCAUAGGUCUUUUCUGUUUUUUUCAUCAUAGGUCUUUAUGCAAAGCAUUAAAGUC
Molecule: long non-coding RNA, 1920 nt
Organism: Canis lupus familiaris (dog)
Lineage: Eukaryota; Metazoa; Chordata; Mammalia; Carnivora; Canidae
Exons: 3
Source: RefSeq, a predicted model, not a curated record